AACCUCACUACACAUCCCACAGUUUGGCUGCUUUUUUAGCUCUGAAUCUUCAGAGUUGAAACUGCUUUGCUUUUACGCUCACUCAGAACAGACUGAGCUGUAACAGUUGGAUCUAGACGAUCGAGAAGAGUCGCAGAAAAGGCGCUUCCUGUCACAGCUGCCCUGCUGGCUGGAGACUGACCGAGGCAGAAAAAUACAUUUCCAACUGGGGUGGGGGUGCCAUAUGGGAGCUUAGAAAAAUGGAAGUGGAUCGGAGAUAGACAAGAGAGGAAUCUUUCAUUCUUGGGUCCGGCUCUCUGGAUCUAUAUGAGAGGAGAACUAAAAAAAGUGACCCCAGGCAGCAAAACCCCAUGACCGGGAUACAUCCAUGAAGGGGUCCUCUACGUCGGUCACCCCUCGUCCACCGUCUAUUCGCCACAUGAAUGCUAAUCUGGUGUCGUUAUCUCUUCUGCCGUAGGUGCCCGCGCGGCCGUCUCUCCCUCGCGCACUCGGAGGUAAGACGAGUCACGCGGCUCGCCAAAACAAAAAUCUAAAAACCUUACUUUGCAAACUGUCUUUUUUUCUUUCUUUCUUUUUGUUCCCCCCCCACAUCGUCUGUAGCAGACGACAGAAGGAGAUGGUGUUUGGGUGUACGACUGCCUUGUUUUCGCUCGCGCUCUCGCGCCAGACGUGUGAGUCAGUAAAAGUGUCAGACUGCCUCGUAACAGACGGCGCGUGCAAGAUAAUUAGCCCGGAGUCAUCUGGAAGCAGCGCAGCUCUGCCCAGGUGCCCACUGUGCACAGAAAGAGACCAGAUGACCUUUUACUCAGCUCCAUCCCACUGCAGUCACUUAAAACAGUGAUGGAUGUUUCCCUCAACACCCAGCUCCUUACUAGCCUUUGCCCCCCCCAACCCCUCCUUCACCCUCCCCACUCUCUCAUCUCAACAUCCCCCUCUUCUUCUCUGCACCGCUCAAACACCACUCUCGCCUUAAUUUGUCCCCUCUCCACUCUUUGUUUUUUCUCCCGUCCUUCUAUAGCCUCCCAUUCUCUCUGUUCUUCCAGUGCGAGGAGGAGGAGGAGGAGGAGGAAGAAGAAGAA
This is a long non-coding RNA of Solea solea (common sole), 1079 nucleotides long. RefSeq lists it as uncharacterized. The transcript is spliced from 5 exons. The record is from RefSeq and is a predicted model, not a curated record. NCBI's taxonomy places the organism in Eukaryota, Metazoa, Chordata, Actinopteri, Pleuronectiformes, Soleidae.